Molecule: ribosomal RNA, 459 nt
Filed under: uncultured bacterium
Lineage: Bacteria
Description: SSU rRNA
Rfam family: Bacterial small subunit ribosomal RNA
Source: RNAcentral
AGAAUCAACGCUGGCGGCGUGCCUAACACAUGCAAGUCGAACGAGAAAGUGGAGCAAUCCAUGAGUAAAGUGGCGCACGGGUGAGUAACACGUGACUACCUACCCUCGAGUGGGGAAUAACCUCGGGAAACCGGGGCUAACACCGCAUAAUAUCUACGGAUCAAAUGCGAAAGCAGCUUGAGGAGGGGGUCGCGGCCGAUUAGCUAGUUGGUGAGGUAAUGGCUCACCAAGGCAAUGAUCGGUAGCCGGCCUGAGAGGGCGCACGGCCACACUGGAACUGAAACACGGUCCAGACUCCUACGGGAGGCAGCAGUGGGGAAUUUUGCGCAAUGGGGGAAACCCUGACGCAGCAACGCCGCGUGGAGGAUGAAGCCCCUUGGGGUGUAAACUCCUUUCGAUCGGGACGAUUAUGACGGUACCGGAAGAAGAAGCACCGGCUAACUCUGUGCCAGCAGCCGC